Molecule: ribosomal RNA, 120 nt
Filed under: Castor canadensis (American beaver)
Lineage: Eukaryota; Metazoa; Chordata; Mammalia; Rodentia; Castoridae
Source: RNAcentral
GUCUAUGGCCAUAUCACCCUGAAUGCACCCAAUCUCAUAUGUUCUUGGAAGCCUAGCAGGGUCAAGCCUGGUUAGUACUUGGAUGGGAAAAAGAUCUUCAGAGGAGACUGCUUAGAGACA